This 169-nucleotide non-coding RNA is filed under the name bovine gut metagenome. Its description in RNAcentral is "Lysine riboswitch". It matches the Rfam family "Lysine riboswitch aptamer". Rfam says of the family: Riboswitches are metabolite binding domains within certain messenger RNAs that serve as precision sensors for their corresponding targets. Allosteric rearrangement of mRNA structure is mediated by ligand binding, and this results in modulation of gene expression. The record is from RNAcentral.
AGGAUAGAGGCGCGUCUUUAAUAAGUAUUCGACGGUUUUUACCGUAGUUUCCCGUCGUUGAAAGGUAAAGUCGCCGAAGGAAACGGAUUAUUACGGUCGUGUCCGUUUGCCUGGCUGCAUCGCUUAAAAGGCAUGCGGCUGUCAUCAUAUUAUGAUGGAGAGCUAUCUC